CCUACGGGUAGGCAGCAGUGGGGAAUCUUGGACAAUGGGGGCAACCCUGAUCCAGCCAUGCCGCGUGUGUGAAGAAGGCCUUCGGGUUGUAAAGCACUUUCAGUGGUGAGGAAGGUCAGUAAGUUAAUAGCUUGCUGAAUUGACGUUAGCCACAGAAGAAGCACCGGCUAACUCCGUGCCAGCAGCCGCGGUAAUA
RNAcentral lists this ribosomal RNA (196 nucleotides) under uncultured Gammaproteobacteria bacterium. Its description in RNAcentral is "partial 16S ribosomal RNA". It matches the Rfam family "Bacterial small subunit ribosomal RNA", at positions 338 to 525 of the family's 1533-position model. The record is from RNAcentral. Lineage: Bacteria; Pseudomonadati; Pseudomonadota; Gammaproteobacteria.